RNAcentral lists this long non-coding RNA (1762 nucleotides) under Equus asinus (donkey). RNAcentral's name for it is "lncRNA (ENSEASG00005028213.1)". Lineage: Eukaryota; Metazoa; Chordata; Mammalia; Perissodactyla; Equidae. The record is from RNAcentral.
AAACUUUCAUUCCGACACCCUGACCUUCAGGAAGGAGAGAGGGGUUGGAGGUUGAGUCAAUCACCAAUGGCCAAAGAGUCAAGCAAUCACACCUGUGUGAUGAAGCCUCCAUAAAAACCCAAAAGGACAGUGUUUAGAGAACUUCCUGGUUUGUGGAUAUACGGAGGUGCUGGGAGACUGGUGCUCCGGGAUAGGGCUUGGAAGCUCCACGUGCCUUUCCACAUACCUUGCCCUACAAAUCUCUUCCAUGUGGAUGUUCAUCUGUAUCCUGUAUCAUAUCCUUUUAUAACAAACUGCUGAAGUCAAGAAACUGGGCCACAGCCAAGCACACAUGCCUGAUGAGCGACAGAGGUGAUGCCAUCUGACUGCAGAGCGCAAGAGCCAAACCUUUGCACUAGUCACCCUCCUGACUCCAGGAGCAAACUAUGGCAUGCUCCUUUUUAAAGAAAGUAUGCAAGUGCCGAAGAACGUAGCAAUGAGUAUGGAGCAGGCAGCUCAGGUCGCCUGGGGACACGCCAAUAGCUGUGCCUAAUAAACGUAUUGGAAAGCCCAAUUAGGCUCCAGAAAGUUCCCUUGAACAAUCCUUGAUGCGGUGUUGACUUUCGUGAGGCCUCAGCAAUGCAAAGCACCUGCAAAAGGCUCAUUAGCUACAGGAAGUUAUCUUGUGCUGUUCAACUGCACCUCCAGCUCAGAAACUUCAGACCCCUGGCAGAGACUUUUCAGGAGGUAUUUUUCCUGGAUAUAUAAAUCAAUUCGAUUCAUAGCAAAGUGGCUUCAGAGAUGACUGCAAAGUAAAUUUUCAAUCACCCAAGCCUCUCCUUCCUUGACGCAAUGAAGAGUAAGAACAAAAGAUCCUGGGGCUGCCCCAUGGCCUAGUGGUUAAGUUUGCGUGCUCCACUUCAGCGGCCCAGGCUUUCACUGGUUUGGAUUCUGGGUGCGGACGUGGCACUUCUCAUCAGGCCAUGCUGAGGCAGAGUCUCACAUAGCACAACCAGAAGGACCUACAACUAGAAUAUACAACUAUAUACCAGGGAGCUUCGAGGAGAAGAAGGAAAAAAAAAAAAGUAAAGGUUGGCAACAGAUGCCCAGGUGCCAAUCUUUAGAAAAACAAAACAAACCAAAAGAUCCUCAGCAUUUCAGCAUCCCUUGAGAAGUAAUCAUUAGGGGUAAUAAGGCUUUGCCAUUUUUUUUAGUAAGCUUGAAGGGGAAAUAGGAAAGAAACCAAAUAUGCUAAGAAUGAGAAAGGACAUUGAUGAUCAAGAGGCAGCUACCAAAGUAUUUUCUUUCUAGGCCUUAGAAGAAUUAAUAUUUGUUCUUGGGAGGUUGUGUGUAUUCAUGCUUUUAACAUAUGUGUUAAAAGAAAUAAAAAAAGAGUGAAUAUGGAACACAAAGAUGGGAUCUACCCUAAAGGGAACGUGAGGUUUCCUACUGCUGAGAUCUGGAGUUCAAAAUGCCCCCUUUCCCUCAUUCCUUCAUUCCCUCUUUCCUGAUGCCGUAGCAUCAACAUAGAAAUCCCACAGCAAACAUGAUUAAAGACCAGGAUGCUUCUCCAGCCUCAAUGUCUCAAACCCGGGGAACGGCUCUUGGGGCAUGAGUAAUGGAUUGGGUGGUGAAGGACCUCUUUCCAUGACUUCUCCCAAAAGUAGGGUGUAUGUGCUUGGGUAAGUUUUAAGGAGUUUUGUGGCCUUAGCAUGAAUCAGAGGGCAGUGGAGCCCAGUUAAGAAUGAGGUAGAAGCCCACAGCUGCAAUCUCUUGGCAAGGG